Molecule: ribosomal RNA, 261 nt
Filed under: uncultured archaeon
Lineage: Archaea
Description: partial 16S ribosomal RNA
Rfam family: Archaeal small subunit ribosomal RNA
Source: RNAcentral
UAGCCGUAAACGAUACUCGCUAGGUGUCGGCCACGGUGCGACCGUUGUCGGUGCCGUAGGGAAGCCGUGAAGCGAGCCACCUGGGAAGUACGGCCGCAAGGCUGAAACUUAAAGGAAUUGGCGGGGGAGCACCACAACGGGUGGAGCUUGCGGUUUAAUUGGACUCAACGCCGGGAAGCUCACCGGAUGAGACAGCGGAAUGAUUGCCGGGCUGAAGACCCUGCAUGACCAGCUGAGAGGAGGUGCAUGGCGUGUGACUGU